CUGCUCGCUUCAGCAGCACAUAUACUAAAACUGGAACGAUACGGAGAUUAGCAUGGCCCCUGUGCAAGGAUGACAAGCAAAUUCGUGAAGCGUUCCAUAUUAAA
Molecule: small nuclear RNA, 104 nt
Organism: Peromyscus eremicus (cactus mouse)
Lineage: Eukaryota; Metazoa; Chordata; Mammalia; Rodentia; Cricetidae
Source: RefSeq, a predicted model, not a curated record